Molecule: long non-coding RNA, 416 nt
Organism: Manacus vitellinus (golden-collared manakin)
Lineage: Eukaryota; Metazoa; Chordata; Aves; Passeriformes; Pipridae
Exons: 3
Source: RefSeq, a predicted model, not a curated record
AAACUGUCAAGUACUACAUUUAUGCUGAUUGCAAGUGGCAGAGCAAUACCACCAAGGCCUUUGUGCCCCAGGAAAUCACUGGGGCCCUUUAUGGCUGCUGACUCUAUUCAUCUAGAAGCACCUUUUUGGAAUGUUCUCCUUCCCCUGCCAGUUGUUUAUUCAUGCAUCAACAAUGAGGAGCAACUGAAGGAUUGUUUCCUGCUUUUCCUUAUCACAAACUUCCAGCUGGGAGUUAAGGAGGCACCUGUGACGUCACCCAGACUGAGGGAUGAGAAGAGACCUUUGUGUCCAUGCUUGGAAGGAGCUGGAAAACCAUCCAGAGAUACCAGCCUUUUGUAUGAAACUGGGUUGCCUGCAAAUUCAGGAACCCUCUGGAUGUUUUUUUGUGAAAUCCCAACCUCAGUUUUGCCUCAGAG